GUAGCUGUGAGUGACCGCAUGCACAUCACUGACCUGGGUGAGGUUAGGUGUGCCUGACAGCAUGCACAUCACUGCCCUGGGGAAGGUUAGCUGUGCCUGACAACAUGCACAUUACUGACCUGGGGAAGGUGUGCCUGACAGCAUGCACAUCUCUCCCCUAGCCAGGCAGCUCUGAGGAGUUAGCAAGCUGCCUAGUGAAAGGGGACAGUAGGCCGCUGUGUAGGACAUGCAGGCUGGCCCAUUCCUUACCAACCAACUCUCUGCCACAGGAAAAAUGGAAGGGUCUGUCAGCCUUUGAGGGCAGGAAUAAAUGGGUCGCAUGGGGGAUACUUGGUUCCCGUCUUCAUAGAACAGAAAGAGCAACUUGAUGCAAGUAGGGGAGCCAUCACCUCAGGGUUCCUGUGGAGUUUGGGGGGGGGGGGGUUGAUACCAAGGGU
Protopterus annectens (West African lungfish) is the source of this 437-nucleotide long non-coding RNA. RefSeq lists it as uncharacterized. The transcript is spliced from 2 exons. NCBI's taxonomy places the organism in Eukaryota, Metazoa, Chordata, Ceratodontiformes, Protopteridae. The record is from RefSeq and is a predicted model, not a curated record.